Molecule: unclassified non-coding RNA, 456 nt
Filed under: Hevea brasiliensis (rubber tree)
Lineage: Eukaryota; Viridiplantae; Streptophyta; Magnoliopsida; Malpighiales; Euphorbiaceae
Source: RNAcentral
GAGAAGGAGAAGGAGAAGAAGAAGUGAAAAAUUCAGUGCCUGGUGCUUCUUCUCCAAGUAGAGAGUUCUGUUAUGGGGAAAAGGAAAAGAGUGACAUGGAAACAAAGUUAGAGAAGACAGAGUUAAGUGAGAAGGCAAGCUUUCGUUUAAAUCUGGAGAAGCAGCCAAUUUCAGUGAGAACGAGAAGAGUGCGAGGAUACUGAAAAAUAUAUGUAGUUCAGAAUUGGGUUUGCUUUUGUAUUCCUUCUACAUAUGUAUAAUUUUAUUUUUGGUUUGGAAAGAUCAUGAAAAUUGUGUAAUUAUGUGUAUGGGCUAGAAAAUUUGUUCUCAAGUUUCAAUGUUGCUUCUAGCAUGACUAUGUUUGGGCUUGGAAUGUUUGGAGAGGAUGUUUGCAAGGUCUUGGACGCAAGCCUCUAGGUGGAAAGCACGAGGAAAAAUUUGGAGUGCGUGAUGUCU